AAGUCGUAACAAGGUUUCCGUAGGUGAACCUGCGGAAGGAUCAUUAUUGAUUAGGGAUUGACACAUCUUUGUGUUUCUCCCUUGCUAUGCGUACCCAUGAAACAGCUACCUGUUAUCAAGCCCUGCCUUUUUAUUAGUUUAAAGGGUAAGACUUGUUGUAAAAUCGGUCUUUUUAAGACCGAAUCAGGUGGUGCCAACUCUUGGCAACUUUUUAAGUGUUAAUGGGUUCGCGGCAAAAAUACUUUUGUGAACAAGUACAAUCCAAUUUUAUAAAAAUGUCUUAUGUUAUUUUACGUCCUUCACUGGGCUGAUUAAUUAUUAAUUAUAAAUAACUUUUAACAACGGAUCUCUUGGCUCUC
This 359-nucleotide unclassified non-coding RNA is filed under the name fungal sp. RNAcentral describes it as "partial internal transcribed spacer region". The stretch from base 1 to 46 matches the Rfam family "Eukaryotic small subunit ribosomal RNA", at positions 1786 to 1831 of the family's 1831-position model. Lineage: Eukaryota; Fungi. The record is from RNAcentral.